GCUUAUAGUUCCUAGUCAACUUUGGCUGAUCUCCAAAAGCUAAGCAGGUCGGAUCUGGUUAAUUCUUGGCUGGGGAACUACCAGGAAAUCCCAGGGCUAUAAGCU
RNAcentral lists this ribosomal RNA (105 nucleotides) under Notechis scutatus (mainland tiger snake). The record is from RNAcentral. Lineage: Eukaryota; Metazoa; Chordata; Lepidosauria; Squamata; Elapidae.